UUAGCGGCGGACGGGUGAGUAACGCGUGGAUAACCUGCCGUAUACAGGGGGAUAACACUUAGAAAUAGGUGCUAAUACCGCAUAAGCGCACGGUUCCGCAUGGAACAGUGUGAAAAACUCCGGUGGUAUACGAUGGAUCCGCGUCUGAUUAGCCAGUUGGCGGGGUAACGGCCCACCAAAGCGACGAUCAGUAGCCGGCCUGAGAGGGUGAACGGCCACAUUGGGACUGAGACACGGCCCAAACUCCUACGGGAGGCAGCAG
This 262-nucleotide ribosomal RNA is filed under the name uncultured bacterium. RNAcentral describes it as "partial 16S ribosomal RNA". It matches the Rfam family "Bacterial small subunit ribosomal RNA", at positions 92 to 354 of the family's 1533-position model. The record is from RNAcentral.